GAUGAACGCUGACAGAAUGCUUAACACAUGCAAGUCAACUUGAAUUUGGGUUUUUAACUUAGAUUUGGGUGGCGGACGGGUGAGUAACGCGUAAAGAACUUGCCUCACAGCUAGGGACAACAUUUAGAAAUGAAUGCUAAUACCUGAUAUUAUGAUUUUAAGGCAUCUUAGAAUUAUGAAAGCUAUAAGCACUGUGAGAGAGCUUUGCGUCCCAUUAGCUAGUUGGAGAGGUAACAGCUCACCAAGGCGAUGAUGGGUAGCCGGCCUGAGAGGGUGAACGGCCACAAGGGGACUGAGACACGGCCCUUACUCCUACGGGAGGCAGCAGUGGGGAAUAUUGGACAAUGGACCGAGAGUCUGAUCCAGCAAUUCUGUGUGCACGAUGAAGUUUUUCGGAAUGUAAAGUGCUUUCAGUNGGGAAGAAAAAAANGA
This 432-nucleotide ribosomal RNA is filed under the name uncultured bacterium. RNAcentral's name for it is "bacterial SSU rRNA". It matches the Rfam family "Bacterial small subunit ribosomal RNA", at positions 28 to 457 of the family's 1533-position model. The record is from RNAcentral.